RNAcentral lists this long non-coding RNA (2000 nucleotides) under Dromaius novaehollandiae (emu). RNAcentral's name for it is "lncRNA (ENSDNVG00000010559.1)". The record is from RNAcentral. Lineage: Eukaryota; Metazoa; Chordata; Aves; Casuariiformes; Dromaiidae.
AACCCUGCAAACUGAGUGAACAAACCAAACGAAGUCGGAAGCAUUCUGCUUGCUUUCAGAGACAUUAGUUUGGCAAGGUUAAAUCCAAAUGGCAUGAAAGCACUGAUGGCAGGUACCAAAGAACACGCACAGAACCCCCAAACCCUCAUCUGAGGUCAUACAGGAACGUGCAUGGAUGGAAAUGGGCAGCCACGUGGGAAGAAAUGCUGUGUAUGGAUACUAGAAUGAUGCUGGAUUUGUAUGUCCCUGUUUACUAUGACUAAUACGACGUAAUUGCAAGGGAUGAAGAAGAUACAGACAGCAUCUGAAUGGAGAAAAUUUUUCUUCUUCUAUUCCUUAUAUUCUCAUCUCCAACAAAGAACGUUCAGCAGAAGAGACCAGAAGACAGAAGGUGAUAAAAAAGGACAAGACAGCAACAGUGAAAAUGAGAUGGAUGUUGAAAAUAUAAGAAUAUGCCUAGAAAUAAAUCAGCAAGAGGAAGCAAAGCAUACAAAUGGGAUAAUAUAGUACAUCACCAACACACAGAGAGGAGACUAGACUAUAAAAACACACUAGAGUUCAGUGUAAAGCAGAUAUGGACUUCUCAGUGAAGUUCACGCCACUCCUGUUUUAGCCUGGGAAAAUUUUAUUUCAGCUGAAAUAAUAAUAAUACAGCAGUCUUUGGAAUAAAUAUAUCAGAUCAUACUGAAUGACCUCUAUUUCCCUGAGGAGGAUACCCUUGGGCAAGAACACAAUGCUAUAACUGUGAAAAUGUUUACUUCAUCUCUUCAUGAUUUUGUUGACUGUCCAAAAGAUAUUAUGCAGUCCACUGCACCUGCCAAUGUAGCCCUAGGGAUGUCAAGGUGGACUGUCAGAGGCCCUGCUCUGCACAGCUUCAUACAACAAUGAAACAAGCCUUAACUUCCUCAAAAUGCUAUGGAAAAAAGAAAUUUCUGCACAACAACAUGAAAGCAACUCAGUAGGGAAAUGUGAGCCAUUGCAGCCACAGGUAAAGCAAUCGAACCACGCCAAAGCAAUUGAGGUAUUAGGUGGUGUGGAUCAAGACGAUUUCCCACAGGACUGUGAAAACUGCCAUCAUUCCUGUAAUCUGUUUGAAGAACUUUUAACAGUUCUAGUGACAACACUGACAAGUAAAUGCUUUCCCAGAUUUUUAAUCCUUGAAAUUUCGAUUGACAGAAAAAUAAUUAAAGUUUCCUCACUAAUGCAAGGGAAAACAAGCAAUUCAUUCUUACGUGACUGGCUUCCUUUUCACAGUUUUUUGAUGGUUAUUAUUAUUAUUAUUAUUAUUAUUUCUACUGCAGUGCUAUCUAGAAGCACAGAUACAUUCAAGACCAUGUUUUUCAAGCAUCUGCACAAUCUCAGAGUGAGGAAUUGUCUUUUGCUCUAGAGAGUUAAUUGAGUAAAGGCUUAUCUUUUCCUCCAUUGUAAUGCUUUAAUUUAAAUGGAUUUAGGUUCUGUGUCUGGACUUUGUCAUACUGCUAUAAAACUGAGUUAUUGUGAUUUAGCUUAUGCCUGAAAAAUUGUUUCUGAGAAUUGCACUGUUAUAUUGUUACAGCUUUCUGUGUAAAAAAAGGCCUGAAUAAGGCAGGGUGGGGAAGGGGAGAAGAGUGAGGCAGGAGAGGCUGCCUGAUUUGCCAGAGAUCACUUUUGUGCUAUUUAGUCCAGCAGGAAAGCGUGGGCUGGGACACAUGAGCACGUGGGAAAGCUGGGCAGUCCUGCGGCUGUUGGUGCCAGGGUCCAGCACCUCACAUUGCUCUUGGACAUCUGCUGCAACAGGAUCAAAGGAGCGUGAAACCCCGAGAUGAAGAUUAUGUUUCUGCAUGGAGACCUUGCUUCCGGCAAAGGCAUCUACUGCCCUCCGGCAUUUCAGUGAAAGAAGUUGCCAUCACUUUUGUCUUCUGCUUUCAUAGUUGUUCAGUGAUAAAGGAGUCAGCUUUGCACCRCUUUUAUGUCUACCUUGAACCAAUAAACAUUAUUUUAAAAAUAAAUGUGAAGAUAUG